Molecule: non-coding RNA, 247 nt
Organism: Taeniopygia guttata (zebra finch)
Lineage: Eukaryota; Metazoa; Chordata; Aves; Passeriformes; Estrildidae
Source: RefSeq, a predicted model, not a curated record
CCCUACAAACCUGGGACCCCCAAAAAAAGGGACCCAGGUGCCCCCUACAAACCUGGGACCCCCAAAAAAAGGGACCCAGGUGCUCCCUACAAACCUGGGACCCCCCAAAAAAAGGGACCCAGGUGCUCCCUACAAACCUGGGACCCCCAAAAAAAGGGACCCAGGUGGUCCCUACAAAUGACACAAGGUCGGGGACCCCAAAAAGGGACCCAGGACUACCCCAGCCCUUCACCCAUAAAGGGUCCCA